GAUGAACGCUGGCGGCGUGCCUAAUACAUGCAAGUCGAGCGAACAGACGAGGAGCUUGCUCCUCUGACGUUAGCGGCGGACGGGUGAGUAACACGUGGAUAACCUACCUAUAAGACUGGGAUAACUUCGGGAAACCGGAGCUAAUACCGGAUAAUAUAUUGAACCGCAUGGUUCAAUAGUGAAAGACGGUUUUGCUGUCACUUAUAGAUGGAUCCGCGCCACAUUAGCUAGUUGGUAAGGUAACGGCUUACCAAGGCAACGAUGCGUAGCCGACCUGAGAGGGUGAUCGGCCACACUGGAACUGAGACACGGUCCAGACUCCUACAGGAGGCAGCAGUAGGGAAUCUUCCGCAAUGGGCGAAAGCCUGACGGAGCAACGCCGCGUGAGUGAUGAAGGUCUUCGGAUCGUAAAACUCUGUUAUUAGGGAAGAACAAAUGUGUAAGUAACUAUGCACGUCUUGACGGUACCUAAUCAGAAAGCCACGGCUAACUACGUG
This 497-nucleotide ribosomal RNA is filed under the name uncultured bacterium. RNAcentral describes it as "partial 16S ribosomal RNA". It matches the Rfam family "Bacterial small subunit ribosomal RNA", at positions 28 to 507 of the family's 1533-position model. The record is from RNAcentral.